AGUGUCUCUGGAAAUUACCUACUCAAAGAAUUUUGGUCAAGGAGCUCAGUGAAGUUGUUUGGGCCUUGGAGAAAAGGAAAAAAAAAAAGUCAUCCACUCGGUAUAACUACAGAAAAGUAGAGAUCUCAACAUCUCUGAAUAUAACUGUUAUUGCACAUAUUACUAAUUUAGUUGCACUUUUGUAUGGACUUUUUAUUUGUUCUAAUUAGCUAUACAUGACAGUAGAAUGCACUUUGACACAUCAUACAUAGAUGGAGUAUAAUUUCUCAUUCUUCUGCUUAUACAUGAUGUAGAAUCACACAGGUUAUAUAGUCAUGUAUGUACAUAAGAUAAAACACCUGACUUUGUUGGGAUUAGUAACUGUGCUCUGUAUAGUAGUAAUGGCAGGUAGAAGGUAAAAUGGAGACAGUGAAUUCUUGCAGUUUUGUCAUCUUUCUCCAGAGACAUGACUCAACCCAUAUAAAGGGUUGAAGAAACAGGUGUUUUUGCAUAAGGUUUGAAAUAUGGAAGUUGACACUCUUCAGAGAAAUGAGUACCAGCUGAAGUAUCUAGAUCGUAUUGGCAUUAUCCAUUUUUUGAUUCCUGGUGAAAGUCUGAAGCCCAUCUCAAGAUUUCUGCAGAUUCUCCCAUGGUACAUGGCAUAUGGCCUCAAGAUUAACUCAGGCUCUGGGUUCAUGCAUUUGUGCAUGCUUCUGCAUUCUGCACUGGGUGUAACCUCAGUCUUUCUCUCAAUUCCCUUGACAAAUCAGCUUAAAAAAUGUGUAUAAAAGUGGAUUUAACUGAAUUGAAGUGCAGAGAAGGUUACUGUGUGGCAACCUAAGCAUUGUGUAUUAGAGUUCCAUGUCUGACAAUGUCCUACAGAGUCCUCAGGGAGAAUUUGCACCACACCUUCUUGUACCCCAAGUAGCAUCCAGCAUUUUAUCUGGCCCCAUAUACUUUUUUGCCUUUCCUGUACUAAAAUUAAAUUUACUUUUUUAUUUAUGCAAAAACAGUUUUAUCUCCAAGCUUUUUAUCAAGCAAGUUUUUUUUUUUUUUUUCUCUCUCCUAACAGAAAGCCUGUGUUAGAGAUUUAGGACAAAAUGUUCACUUUUGUUUCUUUUAAUUAUAUACUUGUUAAUUCAGCAGCUCCUGAGUUAGUCAAUUAGUCAAUCUUGAAAAUGGAUUGUGUAGAGAGUGUGGAUCCAAAAUAGUUUCAAGACAGAAUCAAUGUGAGGAUCUCAAACAAUAUCAAAGGAAAAGAAUUAAAACUAGAAAAGGAAGAAUUCCAGACCAUGUACAUUCACUACCACAAGAUAAAUGAAAGUUGAAAGGCAAAUGGGGCAGCCACAGAAAUAGUCAUUCAAAAGAACUUGGGUUUGAUAUUUAGGGAAAGCAGAGACAUUGAGGACAUACUACCAUCCCACCUUCAAAGGUAAUGCCCAUUUACUGGGAGGGUUCAAUGGAUCCUCAGUGAUACUUGUUGGGGAUUCUGUCAAGAGAUUGAAAUGUGUGGCUGGGCGUGGUGGCAUAUGCCUGUAAUCCCAAUAGCUCUGGAGGCUGAGGCAGGAGGAAUGCAAGUUCAAAGCCAGUCUCUGCAAUUAAGCGAGACCCUGCCUCUAAAUAAAAUAUAGAAAAAGGGCUGGGGAUGUGGACGUUGGUUAAGUGCCCCUGGGUUCAAUCCCCAAUACUAAAAAAAAAAGAGAGAAAGAGAGAUUGAAAUGUGAGCUGGAGGUUGAACUGUGUGAUCCCUCAUGUGGUCCCAGUGUAUGAAUAAAGCAUUAAUUGAGGGAGCCUUGUGUAUAUAUCACUGCUAUAUCUUCUUUUGGGAUCCUGUCAAGGAGCUUUAAGACUAGGUUCCUGGCCAGGCAUGGUGGGAAGCUGAGACAGGAGGAUCAUAAGUUCAAGGCCAACCUAGUAGCUAAACAAGGCCCUGUUUCAAAAUAAAAAAUAAUAAUUAAAAAAGGGAUGGAGAUGUGGCUCAGUGGUUAAAUAAUUCUGGGUUCAACCUCUAGUACCACAAACAAACACAAAACAAAAUUAAAAAAAACAAAAACAAAAAACAAUUUCCUCCCCAAAAUUACGUUUCCUGCUAGUGUUCCUCUUCAGAGGUUUAUAAUGUUCCCCAUGAAAAUAAGAUCAACAUGUCUAUAAUAGAAAAUAUUAUGUACUUAGGAAUAUUUUAUGAAGGAGUAACCUGAAAAAUAUGAUUUAGAAGUAGGAAGAAGAAAAAUAUGAUAACAAUUUGAGGAAAUUUCUUUGUGGGAAUUUGGACACACUGCUGUAUGCUAAGACUGAGAGGUUUGGUGAAGACGGGGUAGGCAGGAAGUAUGGUUACAGCUCCUUUUGUAGUUGGCCGACCUUUGACAGUUUUUAAAUGCAUGUUGCAACUCUAGUCCAGGUCAGGUAGAUGCCAUGAUCCAAGUUAUUCUGAUCUGAGGGAAUGCGUGACCAUGGUCUCUUGAGCACAGAGCUGGUGGUAGUCCAUCACAGGGCAGGUGUGUUCCAAGGGGCAUCUGUCCAAAGAGAAGGAAAGCUGAGAACAUGGACUCAUGGGGCAGUGGAGAGUAGACCCGGGUAAGAAUGGUUGCUUCGGCAAACUGAUGUUUACCUGGUAACAGAUUCUAGCUGUGUCUAUAAAUAAGGCUAGAUGGAGAAGGCUGCCACUCUGUGAAGGACAAAAGAAAGGACAAGGAGAAGGGUGGGGUGAGCUAUAUAGGGGUGUCAGUAAGUGUAUACCCAGGCAGGUUGGCACCAGGUGUAUACUUACCCGACUGUGGGUAUUGGGCCUUCCUAGGACAAUGAGGAGUGUUAUUUAGAAAAGCUUUUCGAGGACUGACGAAAGAGAAAAAGAAUGGAAAAGGAGAAAUGAGAGAAGGAAAAAGUUGGAGGGCCCAAUAAGGCCAAGAGGACCCAGUCCUUGACUUUCUCCUCCUUCUUCCACAUUCCCCCUAUUGCCUGUGACUUUCUUCUUUGCUUUAACGUUGUGUUCUAUUUGACAGCCAUCUAAUAGAGGCUUAGGAGUAGACAUGGUUUUCCAAGGGUAUCCCUUUUGUCAUUUCUUCCCCAACGCUGAAAUUUUUGUCACAUCAUCAUGAAGGAAAAUCAUGACAUGCCCGAUACUGGAAGUGAAGGCGUCUUGGUCUUGCAGGAGAAUUCAGAGGAACAAAGCAAAUGGCACUGGUGGACAGGCGAAGCGGGCCCUUCCACACGGAGUUCUGUCCUUCCUUCCCACUCCUGCCUGAUUCUCAGUGGUCCUGGCACUGUUCCGGGAACCAGAGGGGACAAAACCACUUCAUUCUGCCUUUGCUUUUACUCAGGGGCAGGUGGUUCUUUAUUUCAGCCGUUUCCCAGGCGUGCCUUCUUCAUCCUUCUAUGCUGUCAUUGUCUUUGUCAGUCAGCCUGGAGAUCUUCGGGAAGACAGAAGGGAAGGGAGGGAAGGAGAGCGAUGACCACUAAGCAGGCAACAUGGAAGAAUUAUCUUUUUGGGGGUGGGGCAUACUGGGGAUUGAACUCAGGGGCACCCCACUACUGAGCCACAUCCCCCGCCCUAUUUUGUAUUUUACUUAGAGACAGGGUCUUAGCGCCUUGCUUUUGCUGAGGCUGGCUUUGUACUCGCGAUCCUCCUGUCUCCACCUCCUGAGCUGCUGGGAUUACAGAUGUGUGCCAGCAGCCUGUAAAUAAUUAUCCUUUAUGCCAAAGUAGAAGAGCCCUAUAAAAGAAAUGUUUUUCACUUUGGUAUAUGUAUCAAUAGCUGACAAACUCUAUCAAAAUCUCUAGUCCUAGUUUAGAAACUAAAACAGUUUGGGGGGCUGGGGCUGUGACUCAGCGGUAGAGAGCUCGCCUAGCACAUGCAAGGCCCUGGGUUUGAUCCUCAGCACCAUAUACAAAUAAAUAAAUUAAAUAAAGGUAUUGUGUCCAACUACAACUAAAAAAUAAAUAUUAAAUAAAGAAACUAAAGCAGUUUGUCAUUCUGUAGGCUUAAAAAGGGGCAUCAGAUUUUAAGAUUAUGAACUUUUAAGAAUGUCAAGUCAAAAAAAAAAAAAAAAAGAA
Marmota monax (woodchuck) is the source of this 4029-nucleotide long non-coding RNA. RefSeq lists it as uncharacterized. The transcript has 2 exons. Lineage: Eukaryota; Metazoa; Chordata; Mammalia; Rodentia; Sciuridae. The record is from RefSeq and is a predicted model, not a curated record.